CAUUUACUCCCUCCGUCUGAAAUUACGUGUCGCAGAAAUGGCUAAAAAUGGAUGUAUCUAGAACUAAAAUAAGUUCAGAUACAUCCAUUUAUCCGACAAGUAUUUCCGGACGGAGGGAGUAACUG
Molecule: non-coding RNA, 125 nt
Organism: Triticum aestivum (bread wheat)
Lineage: Eukaryota; Viridiplantae; Streptophyta; Magnoliopsida; Poales; Poaceae
Source: Rfam